CACAGAUUUCAGAGAAAUAGGAUCAGUGCUCUGAAGUUAAAAGUUAAGUUUUUGCUUAUAUAGGAAGAAGACAAAGAAAUUUAACAGGAUUAUAUUUCCUAUAUACUGGUUUAAGAGUUAUAACAAAUUAAUUAGUUAGAGUUUGUUUUCUUUUCUGUAUGGCUUGUUUUAUUCAUAGCUGAUUUUCAUUUCCUUUCCAAUUUAAAAGAGUAUGUUUAACAUUCCAUCUUAAGACAAUGUGGUAGUCAUGAAGUCUUUGUGUGAGAAAGGUGAGAGGGAGGUUAAUCUACAAUGAAGAUCAACAGAGGAGAAGGAAGGGGUCUUCCUUGGUGCCCUUCUGUCAUUCAUGUCAUUUUAUUAACACAAAACAAUACAGGCACUCCCUUGCAUUGCUAGCUUAUCUAAUUAUGCUUGCUUAGAAGUUCCAGAGAUUGAAUCUUGAGACAAUCCAGGUGCCUAUGGAAUUAUCCCCCACCAGGAGAUUACUUCAAGCCUGCAGCUAAUUUACAACCCAGUCAAGCCCGAGAUGGCACCAGCUCAUUCACAAGUUGGAGCAAUAACUCAAGAGGGCCAUACAACUUUCAUUGGGCAUUUAAAUAAGCAGAGUAUGCUCCUGGACAACUGGAAGGACACCAUUGAAGGCACUGGUUAUUUUACCAAGGCUUUGACUGGAAUGGCAUGGUUUCAGUUAUAAACAGACUGCUUUAAGGAAUCAAAGUUGACUUACAGAGCUGAUAAAAGGCCCCUAAGAAAAACUGGCCUCACCUCUUGUCUAUAUAGUCCCUAUAUAGGUUUCCUGACCUGUGUUUUUUGACUUGGACUCAAUAAAAUUGCUGCUACCUUUUUACUGAGGCCUUACAAGCUAAAGCUUAUUCCUUGAGACACAGAAGUUCCAGGGAUUGAAUCUUGAGACAAUCUGGGUGCCUAUGGAAUUAUCUCCCACCAGAAGAUUACUUCAAGGCAGCAGCUAAUUUACAACCUGGUCAAGCCUGAGAUGGUGUCAACCCAUUCUCAAGAUGGGACAAUAACUCAAGAUAAGUCAUCAAAACAAGCCACGUAGACCAGCACCACCUCUCACGCCCCCACCCACCACCCCCCACCCACCACAUAUCCUCCAUACCAAACUUCCCCUUCUUAAACCCUAGCAUUUUGCCCAAGAAUUUUGAAGCAGUUUCAUUAAGGCAGGAGCCUGAACCACUUCCCCACUGUUAGCUUUGGAAAAUGAAGUCAAUUUCCUU
Long non-coding RNA from Homo sapiens (human), 1238 nucleotides. Lineage: Eukaryota; Metazoa; Chordata; Mammalia; Primates; Hominidae. The record is from Ensembl.